UUCUCGCGCUAGGGAUAGCAGCGGUAUCCUUUUAAGGCUAUAAGGCUUAAAAGAUAUAGCGGAUAGCCCGACACGAU
RNAcentral lists this small RNA (77 nucleotides) under Nonlabens sp. Hel1_33_55. RNAcentral's name for it is "Flavo-1 RNA". It matches the Rfam family "Flavo-1 RNA". Lineage: Bacteria; Pseudomonadati; Bacteroidota; Flavobacteriia; Flavobacteriales; Flavobacteriaceae. The record is from RNAcentral.